RNAcentral lists this unclassified non-coding RNA (23 nucleotides) under Mus musculus (house mouse). Its description in RNAcentral is "oocyte_clustered_small_RNA1687". Lineage: Eukaryota; Metazoa; Chordata; Mammalia; Rodentia; Muridae. The record is from RNAcentral.
AAGUGAUAGUGUAAUGUCAGAGG